Molecule: ribosomal RNA, 388 nt
Filed under: uncultured bacterium
Lineage: Bacteria
Description: bacterial SSU rRNA
Rfam family: Bacterial small subunit ribosomal RNA
Source: RNAcentral
AACGAACGCUGGCGGCAGGCCUAACACAUGCAAGUCGAACGCCCUAGCAAUAGGGAGUGGCAGACGGGGUGAGUAACACGUGGGAACCUUCCCUAUAGUACGGAAUAGCUCAGGGAAACUUGAAGUAAUACCGUAUACGCCCGAGAGGGGAAAGAUUUAUCGCUAUAGGAUGGGCCCGCGUCGGAUUAGCUAGUUGGUGAGGUAAUGGCUCACCAAGGCGACGAUCCGUAGCUGGUUUGAGAGAACGACCAGCCACACUGGGACUGAGACACGGCCCAGACUCCUACGGGAGGCAGCAGUUGGGGAAUAUUGGACCAAUGGGCGCAAGCCUGAUCCAGCCAUGCCGCGUGAGUGAUGAAGGCCUUAGGGUUGUAAAGACUCUUUUAGC